UUGACCUCUGAGUGCUGAGGCCCAGUAUUGGCCUGUCCUUGGAUGGUGCAUAACAUGCCUGUCCAGAGACUGGAUGUAAAACCAGACAUCACCCCCAGCCUGAGAAGGAAGCAGACUGAGGCUGAGGUGCUCUCAAACCACCUCUGCACGAAUACAGCUGGUCAUGUGUCUGUCUCCAGCCCUUGGAGAAAGGACAGCCCUCUACAGAAUGGGUGUACAGACUGGGACCACCAGACAUAAUUUCAAGCAGAAAUACACAGAGAUGGGGAGACACCACUUCACCAUUCAUGGAGCUUCUCCCUAAUGCCAUGAAUGAUGUUCUCAUAUGGUGUGGGGAGCUUGAACCCGGGUCCUCCGCCAUGUACAGUAUGUAUUCUAAAGGGUGAACUACUUCCCAACCCUGAAAUUAAAUUCUUAAAACCAUGUACAGAAGAAUAAAGAAAAUACAAUAACACA
Long non-coding RNA from Erinaceus europaeus (western European hedgehog), 456 nucleotides. RefSeq lists it as uncharacterized. The transcript has 2 exons. Lineage: Eukaryota; Metazoa; Chordata; Mammalia; Eulipotyphla; Erinaceidae. The record is from RefSeq and is a predicted model, not a curated record.